RNAcentral lists this unclassified non-coding RNA (236 nucleotides) under plant metagenome. RNAcentral describes it as "partial contains small subunit ribosomal RNA, internal transcribed spacer 1, and 5.8S ribosomal RNA". The record is from RNAcentral.
UCUCCGUUGGUGAACCAGCGGAGGGAUCAUUACCGAAGUUACCUUCAAAACCCACUGUGAACCUUACCUCUUGCCGCGUUGUCUCGGCGGGAGGCGGUGUGCGUCGCGCGCCCUAGCGGGCCGCGCCGCUCCCGUCCCCGCCGGCAGCGCCAAACUCUAAAUGCACAGCGGACUGUACGUUCUGACUUACAAAAAAAAACAAGUUAAAACUUUCAACAACGGAUCUCUUGGUUCUG